AAAAAAGGUAAGCUACUAAGAGCGAAUGGUGGAUGCCUUGACUGGUAAAGGCGAUGAAGGACGUACUAGACUGCGAUAAGCUACGGGGAGCUGUCAAGAAGCUUUGAUCCGUAGAUUUCCGAAUGGGGCAACCCAAUGUAUAGAGAUAUACAUUACCUAUAUAGGAGCGAACGAGGGGAAUUGAAACAUCUUAGUACCCUCAGGAAAAGAAAUCAAUAGAGAUUGCGUCAGUAGCGGCGAGCGAAAGC
RNAcentral lists this ribosomal RNA (248 nucleotides) under Campylobacter coli. RNAcentral's name for it is "partial 23S ribosomal RNA". It matches the Rfam family "Bacterial large subunit ribosomal RNA", at positions 1 to 260 of the family's 2925-position model. The record is from RNAcentral. RNAcentral also lists the same sequence under 1 other name. Lineage: Bacteria; Pseudomonadati; Campylobacterota; Epsilonproteobacteria; Campylobacterales; Campylobacteraceae.